Long non-coding RNA from Vanessa tameamea, 230 nucleotides. RefSeq lists it as uncharacterized. The transcript has 3 exons. NCBI's taxonomy places the organism in Eukaryota, Metazoa, Arthropoda, Insecta, Lepidoptera, Nymphalidae. The record is from RefSeq and is a predicted model, not a curated record.
CGACUUCAACUGGUAAUGAAUUUAUAAUUAAUUAUUUUGGUCAUAAAAGUAAUUUAACGUGUUCAUUUCUAAUCAAAAACGACAUAUGAAGUUUACUUUAGUAUUAUGUUUUCAAUAUUUAGAUUUAUUUCUGAUCUUCCUACACUGCGCAGAAGAUCAGAGCUUCAGCCGGCGACCAAGCAUUGUACAACAAGGAGAAAUGUUAAUUAAUGAAUCAGUUUUAAAAUCAC